UAUGAAAAGAGGAGGAGAGGAGAGGAGAGAGAGAGGAAGGCAGAUGAAGAGAGAGUAUAACUUUGGGGGAUCACAGGAAGAGGCAGCACAGGAAGAAACUUUUGGCUGCUUUCUUUUGGCCUUUUUCUACAUGUUACCGGAAUCUGUGUUGACAGCCUGAAGAAAAUGCGCCAUUGUGUCAACUCCUCCUCCUUUAUCUAACUACUGGCUUAGUAUUGGAGUUUGGAAGAAGACAAGGAGUAAAAAGCCUUUCCAAAGUGGGCUCACACCUGUUUUCCCUGAGGAUUCCCUGGAGCGCCACCAUGGGCUCUGGUGCUUGAGGGAAUCUUUGCAUCUGUUGUUAUUUGGAAGGGCUAGGAGCUGUAGGAGGGAGAUGUCAUCCUACUUCACUCGCACCAAAGACCUGACUCGUACCAGGAGGUCACUCACUGACUCACCGCCACCCUCUCCAUCCCCUACUGACAAAAGCUUCAGACAUGACAGACUUUCAAGAUAUGACUCCAGUGGAGAUAAUGUAGCUGACAAAUUGGGCCGGACCAGCUCCUACACCCGCAGAGAGACCAGACUGGCCUCUCUGAAUAAGCAGGAGCAAGACACCACAAGCAAAGACUACAAGAAGCUGUACGCAGAAGCGCUACAGGAGAAUGAGCGUCUCAAGUCCAGGUUGCAGGACAGCAAACAGGAACUUGUCAACAUUCGUACCCAGUUGGAGAAAGUAACUCAGAGGCAAGACAGGAUAUCGGAGAAAUCUACUCAGCUUGAAGCAGAGAAAAGGGAGAAACAAGCCCUUGAGAAAAGGGUGUCAGGCAUGGAAGACGAGAUGAAGACUUUCCCUGCUCUGGCUCAGGUCCAGGCCUUGCGGAGCGUCAACGACCGUCUCCUGGCUGAGAACAGAGCCUUGCUGCGUGCUCUCUCCCGCCUCUCGGAGACGGCCUCCAUGCCGGAGACAGAGGACCUAUGAAUUCACCUGUUCUCCUCUCACGCCUCCUCCUCAUGUCCCCUUCCUCUGCAACAUAACCCUCCUUCAGGCACCUCCUCAGCCCCCUCAUCCUCUACUGUGCUCCUCUCAGGUCUUAACAGAGCUCAAGACGGACAACCAGAGGCUAAAGGACGAGAACGGUGCUCUCAUUCGGGUCAUCAGCAAACUGUCUAAAUGAAAGAACGUUCUGGUUUGCUGAUAUUCAUGAUGCGGUCACACUUACUACUUCCUGUCAGGUGUAUCCAAAGAACUGUUGCGUAUGGAUUUCAGGAGUUGCAGUAUAAUAAACAAUGAUUAGCCAUUGUUUUCUUUCAGGGACCACACAUGCAGUUUAGUUGAUAUUCCAAAGCCCCUGAUAUCUUGCUUGCUUUUUAAGUAGGGAUUACAUAACGAUACCAUGACUACUAUGACAUUAUAUUUGUCCGUAGUACUAUUUAACCAAUACGAACCCAUGCUGACCAACACCUAAGUGUCCUAAAAUACAGUUUUUGCUUGACUUUAACUAAGUCUCUAUGUGACACAGGCAAAACAUUUUGACGUGCUUGUCAUGUGGCAGUCAUGUGACUAUCCCUGGAUAUAGCUUCCACAAAAUGGCAGUGUGUCGGGUCAACACAUGUAAUUUGCUCCAGCUUAUUUUUCGCCAUUAAAAGUAAUUUUAGACCCAUUUAACAAUUCCAAUGCUUAGUGUGUCAAAUAAUUACCGCAACUGUAAUGAUUAAAAAACUGUCGGGGUUAGUACUACUGAAAGGCCAUGACAGGAUGACUGUUGGUACAAGUGUUUUGUAAGAAUAUUGUUUUACAAUUCAACGGGAAACACAAUUAUUUAGCAUGCCAUCGCACACGGUGAGUGCAGUACCUCAACGAAAGCAUGUCAUAAUCGCUGCAGUUUGGAAAGGUUUCAUGUUUGAUGGACUAUUUCCAGAACUUCCAAUGUGUUUCACUCUGCCGUCCUUUGAGAGAUACACUGACGUGUGAAAUAAAGUGUCCUACGAUGUUUAUUUAAGCAUUUAUUCGUUAUUGUCAAAGGAACACACCGGUUAUUCUGACUUGUUUGUCUGAGUUCUUUGAUGUUUUUACAUAUGUAGCUCAAUGCUAAGUGACACUUUAGGCUGGUAGCGUUUGCACUACAGUAUUUGCUAAACUAUGAUAAGUCAAGACAGUCUAAGCAUUUUUACACUUAUGUUGGUGUCUUCCACAAUGUUUCUAACAUUGAAGACUUUCUUCAAAACCUUUAUUUAGCCUGCUGUUUUAAUGAUAUAAGAAUAUUACGGCCGCCACACAAACUGGAGAGAUGAAAAGAGUAUUUUGUCUUGAGCUAAUGCUAACAUUUUGUUGUUUCUGAAGAGGUUGCUCACUCAGAUUCCUUUUCAUUCAUGAUUUUGCUGUGUUGCUUUUUAGUUAUUUGACAUGAAAAUGAUACACUACUUACCCUUUUGGGGCUCCUCAUAUAGAGCAGCAUUAGGUGUAUCUGGUUGUCAAAUGGGCUAACAUUAGCCUGGAAGAUAAAUGGAGAGCCACACUUUGUUAGCCCUUAGCCUGAUUAGCAGUCCAGUCUGCUAGCUCCAUUAGCAUCUUUCAACCUUUUGUUAUUAAUUUGUUUCCAUUCAAGUCAGUGUUGCCAGAUGGGAAACGACAAGUUAUCGUACCAGAUGCUUAAAAUCAUUUGACAUUGCUCAGCACCAUGUCAAGUCACAGACCAUAUAAAGUAGGGGUGUCCAAAGUGCAGCCCAGGGGCCAUUUGCGGCCCACGGCGCAUUCUAAAAAUAUAAUUUCACAAGAGAUGAGAAAAAAAAGCAAAAUUGGACAAAUCUGCAGUAAUUUUACAAGAAUAAAUAAAAAAUAUGAAGACAAAAAUUUGUAAUUUAACAAGAACAAGUUGUCAAUUUACAAGAGUAAAGUUGUAAUAUUAUGAGGAAAAAUGACGUAAGUUUAGUAGUAAAAAGUUGAAAUAUUAAAGAAAAAACAUUUUUUUGAAGUCAUAAUAUUAUGAGUAAGAAACAAAACAACAAAUAAUGUAAUUUUUGGAAAAUUAGUUUGCGGAAAAAGUUAUAAUAUUACGAGAAUAAAGUCAAAUUAUUAUGGGAAUAACGCCAUAAUUAGGAGAAGAAAAUUUACAAGAAGAAAGUGGAAAUAGUUGGAGGAUUUAAAAAAACAACCACAGCAAAAAUGGAAAAGCAGCUGUAAUUUUUACGAGAAUAAAGUCACUACAUUAAGAGAAAAAAGUAAUGUUAGGAGGACAAGUUGUGUCAUUUUAGUCGCAUGCAGUUGAAAUAUUACAGCAAAAAUGUUAUGUUUUAAAAGUCGGAAUAUUAUGACAAACAAAUCAAAAUUUUAAUUUUUGGUUGGGGGGAAAAAGUUAGAAUAUCAUGGGAAUAAAGCCAAAAUAUUAUGGGACUUGAGACGUAAUAUUUCGGAAAAAAAAUUUACAAAGAUUAUUUAAGAAGAAAGAAAGUCGAAAUGUCAAAAUAAUAGCUGAAAUAUAAAAAACAAGAGAGGCACGGAGGACUUUGAAUAUUAGUGCAGACCUGCCAGCAUGUAUGAAUUUGUCACACUGCUUGUAUGCUUCACUGCUCUCCCAUCUUGUUGCGUUUCGCUGGUUUCAGUUUCGAGUUCAGUCUUUACAGUACAGAAAAAUAGAUAUGAUCAAUUUCUCAACAGUAUUUCAAUCGGGGGGGAUGGGGCGCAAAAACAUUUUUUGUCCCACAGUGGGGGCAUGACAUGAAAAUAAUUGAGAAGCACUGAAAUAAACCAACAGCACUGUUGGAAGAAAGAACAGAACAGUGCCCCUAUCUGGCGGGAAAGAGGUACUUAAGGCAAUACACAACAUCAGACACACAGCCAUGUAUCCAAGGGGUCAAAUGAUCGUACAUUACGGGAUUUUUCAAAUUAUUUCGAUCGCAAAAUGAUCGUACAUCUGGCAACGCUGAUUCUAGUACAUAAAUAAUUUCUGGAAGUGUCUACUGGUGUGUCUGUUUUGCGGCCAUGGUCAGCAUGCUAGCCGUUCUGCAAGUUGAUGGCUACAUCCUGUCGAGUAUGACGUACUUUCUAUUUGAACAUGUUGGUGUGUCCACGUUGUGCAUUAAACUCUAACGUUACGAACCAUCUGUUGUUUGUCAGCGUGACGCAAAGUGAGUAAUAGCAGCCACCCAGCACCAUCACACAACACAUUGGACACAAAACCAUCACGGUAAUUAAAAGUUCUUUAUUUCCUAUUUGUUUUUUUGUACAGAACUGGUAACACAUAUGAUAAAUUUGUAAUAAGUUAUUUGGCUCCCUUGAUAACGUUAUAAGGAUCCCCAACAUUUGUCCACAUAAGGGUCAAGAGGAGUUUGUGAGCAACGUUUGUGUCCAGUCAAGGGCUAAAGCAUGCGAUCCACAGUAGGCACAAGUACUGACAUGAACACGCGCACCACGACACGAGACACAAAGAACACAGCUAGAGGACACAACCUGACCGUCCUUUGAUCCAAUGCUUUCCAAGAGGAUGGAGAAGAGAAAGUAAAUGAAACGGGGGGGGGAAGGAGUCUUGAGAACAGCUGGAGCGAACGGUUGAAAAGUAGGAUCAGGUACAGGAAUUUGGCAGUUUACACUAAGUCCAUGUUGUAAACAUGAAGGCCAGCGUUCUUUAUGCACAGCAAAAGCAGAAUUCGGGGAGGAGGGACUCCAUGCGCCAGAUGAAAGACUCCGAUGACACAUAAAACGAACAAAGACACAAAUAUAAAGCCGACAUUUAGGGAGACAAAUGCCCGCCGUUGAUGCACACAGAGACGCUACAUGUGAAGAAUACACCACAAAAACAAAA
Molecule: RNA transcript, 4781 nt
Organism: Dunckerocampus dactyliophorus (ringed pipefish)
Lineage: Eukaryota; Metazoa; Chordata; Actinopteri; Syngnathiformes; Syngnathidae
Gene name: protein phosphatase 1 regulatory subunit 12B-like
Exons: 8
Source: RefSeq, a predicted model, not a curated record